Molecule: long non-coding RNA, 468 nt
Filed under: Gallus gallus (chicken)
Lineage: Eukaryota; Metazoa; Chordata; Aves; Galliformes; Phasianidae
Source: RNAcentral
GCUGUCAUCAUCCAUGAUUUUGGAAAGCCCAAAAUCUGUGAUUUUUAUCUCUCCGCAUGCAGUACCAUUGACUAGAAGAAUGUUACCUGGUUUAAGGUCAUAGUGUAUGAUGGGAGGUUUGAUUUCAUUUAAGUAUUUUAAAGCAUUCACAAUCUGCAUGAUAAUGGAUCGUGCCUCCUUCUCCGACAUUAACUUGUGCUGUUUCAGGUAGAAGUCCAGAUCGUUUCCCUCACAGUAUUCUAACACUGUACAAAACGAGUCAGUAUCCAGUGAAAAGUAGUCAUAUAGCUUAACUAUUCGAGGAUGAUCCAGUUCUUUGUGAAUUCUGUACUCUCUACACGCAUGUUUGUGAUAGUUUUCUUUCUUCUCAUCUCUCCAGUUUUUAUUUAACUGGUGUAUUUUCACAGCUACGUAUCUCUGUUCCGUUAAAUCAAAUGCCUUAUAUACCUCACUGAAGCCUCCCCGACC